UGCCAGCCGCCGCGGUAAUACAGAGAGUGCAAGCGUUAAUCGGAAUUAUUGGGCGUAAAGGGUGUGUAGGUUGUAAAAAAAGUCAAAUGUGAAAGUCCUGGGCUUAACCUAGGAACUGUGUUUGAUACUGUUUUACUAGAGUAUUGUAGGGGAAAGCGGAAUUUCCGGUGUAGCGGUGAAAUGCGUAGAUAUCGGAAUGAACACCAGUGGCGAAGGCGGCUUUCUGGACAAAUACUGACACUGAUACACGAAAGCGUGGGGAGCAAACAGGAUUAGAUA
RNAcentral lists this ribosomal RNA (279 nucleotides) under uncultured bacterium. RNAcentral describes it as "partial 16S ribosomal RNA". It matches the Rfam family "Bacterial small subunit ribosomal RNA", at positions 506 to 784 of the family's 1533-position model. The record is from RNAcentral.